RNAcentral lists this ribosomal RNA (164 nucleotides) under Peronospora trifolii-hybridi. Its description in RNAcentral is "5.8S ribosomal RNA". It matches the Rfam family "5.8S ribosomal RNA". Rfam says of the family: 5.8S ribosomal RNA (5.8S rRNA) is a component of the large subunit of the eukaryotic ribosome. It is transcribed by RNA polymerase I as part of the 45S precursor that also contains 18S and 28S rRNA. The record is from RNAcentral. RNAcentral also lists the same sequence under 1 other name. Lineage: Eukaryota; Oomycota; Peronosporomycetes; Peronosporales; Peronosporaceae.
UAACAACUUUCAGCAGUGGAUGUCUAGGCUCGCACAUCGAUGAAGAACGCUGCGAACUGCGAUACGUAAUGCGAAUUGCAGGAUUCAGUGAGUCAUCGAAAUUUUGAACGCAUAUUGCACUUCCGGGCUCUCUACUCGGGAGUAUGCCUGUAUCAGUGUCCGUA